RNAcentral lists this microRNA (21 nucleotides) under Rattus norvegicus (Norway rat). RNAcentral's name for it is "rno-miR-3594-5p". Lineage: Eukaryota; Metazoa; Chordata; Mammalia; Rodentia; Muridae. The record is from miRBase by way of RNAcentral.
CCCAGGGCAGAGCAGUGUGAA